This is a long non-coding RNA of Phragmites australis (common reed), 1248 nucleotides long. RefSeq lists it as uncharacterized. The record is from RefSeq and is a predicted model, not a curated record. The transcript has 3 exons. Lineage: Eukaryota; Viridiplantae; Streptophyta; Magnoliopsida; Poales; Poaceae.
CCAUCCCUUUUCUUUGCGUCGUCUGGAACUUGGGACAUCAUACUCCAUUGCAUCUGCACAGCAAUCUCCACGAUAGCCAUCGCUGCCGUGUAGCUCAGCAACCAGACCUUCGCGUUCCUCUCCACCGAAGUACCUGCGACAGCAUCCACUACCACCGUGUAUCUUGAGGCAACAUAACCAGGAACACACAAGGAGUGAAGGGACCUAAUAUUGGUACAAAGGAAAAAGGAAAAAGAAGAAGACCUCCCAUAAUUGUGAAGAAGAGCCGUCCUGGGCUCUUGGUCCUCUCCUUGGAAGGGGAAGUAAGAACCCGCAAGAAAACAACUUAGAUCUAAGGUAUGGUUGAGAAAUUCCUCUAAAUGUUUGUAAUCUACAUUUUUUAUAUUAAGUAGAUAAUCUUUUUAUCUUCCAAUUGUUCUAUUUUGUAACUUAUUAUGAUAUGUUACUGACAGUAUCUUUCUUACCAUAGACAAUGGUACGAACAAAGAAUAGUAAGCGAAAGAUAUCAGCCAUAGAUAAUGAUAACAAUACUGCCAAAGAAAAUAGAGCUAAACGACGAAAUGUAACCAUACAAAAGAAAUAUGCUUAUCUAUCUAUUCCCCAUGGUAUGAAAUAUUUCUCACCUGAACAUAUGCAAUAUCUUAAAGAAUCAUAUAUAGGACGAUCAUAUUUUGGUGCUGCAAACCACACAUGUAAAUAUUGCAGUGCAUUGUUUUGGAGUCAAGAAAGUGUGAGACGUGAGGCAAGAUAUAAAGACAAAAAUAUCGUGUAUAGAUUAUGUUGUAAAGAAGGAAAGAUCCGUAUUCCCCCCUUUAAAAAUCCACCUGAAUACUUAGAAAAGUUGUUAGAUUACAAUGGUGAUAGCAGAUCAAAACAUUUCCUUAAAAAAAUAAGAUAUUAUAACAGCCUAUUUGCUUUUACAUCAAUGGGUGCUAAUAUAGACAAAUCAAUAAACCGUGGAGAAGGACCUUAUGUAUUCCGUAUCAAUGGCCAAGUACAUCACCGAAUUGGAGGACUACUUCCAAAACCAAAUUCCAUACCGAAAUUCGCCGAACUAUAUAUCUUUGAUACUGAACACGAGAUUGCAAAUAGAAUGCGCGCUUUGCAACAAGAAGAAAAUGAUGAUAUAGAUAUCAAUCCUAAUAUAGUUCAUGGAUUAAAAGAAAUGCUAGACACAUACAACCCUUUGGUUAAAAAAUUCCGAUUUGCACGAGACCUAUUAGAACAAUAUAAUGGAAUAGAUGUAAG